UUGGAUUAUGGACAAUUCAUCUGUGCAACUCUAUGGUUCAUAACCAUGCCAUUUAUUUUCACUUAAGUGAGGCGACAAUUCUGUGAAUGAUUUGCUGACAUUAAAAAUUUUACAUUGUUCAAUACAAAAUCCGUUUCUUUUUCUUUCACGGCAAAAGACAUGUUAUUACUAAAUCUCAAUGCUAUUACAAAAAUUAACCAGACACAUCACAGUUAAAUUACGCUUACAUCGAUCUGCAUCACAAAGAAAUUGGAAGUAUACUAUAAUUUUACUGGCACGCAUAUAAGUUAACACGUCCAACCAGCAAUAAGCCAAUAAUAAUCUUUUUGUGUAUAAACAAGUUCCGAACUUGAUCGUUGCAUAGAAUAAUACUACAACGAUGUUGAACCACAUGAUCCGUUUGGCCAAAUCGCUGAGUCAGCGAAUAUAGGGCAGGGCUAGCUUCACAUAAGAAUCUUGGUAUUUUUAGUUUUACUUUGAUUUGAACAUUAAAACGGCACACGAUGAAAAUACCUUUGUCUUUAUUUCGUAAAACUAAACAAGUGAA
Molecule: long non-coding RNA, 547 nt
Organism: Drosophila hydei
Lineage: Eukaryota; Metazoa; Arthropoda; Insecta; Diptera; Drosophilidae
Exons: 2
Source: RefSeq, a predicted model, not a curated record